GGAGUUAGCCGGUGCUUCUUCUGUGAGUGAUGUCCUUCCUGCCGGCUAUUAACCCGCAGGCCUUCUUCCUCACUGAAAGUGCUUUACAACCCGAAGGCCUUCUUCACACACGCGGCAUGGCUGGAUCAGGGUUGCCCCCAUUGUCCAAUAUUCCCCACUGCUGCCUCCCGUAGGAGUCUGGGCCGUGUCUCAGUCCCAGUGUGGCUGAUCAUCCUCUCAGACCAGAUACGGAUCGUCGCCUUGGUGAGCCGUUACCUCACCAACCAGCUAAUCCGACAUAGGCUCAUCCGAUAGCGCGAGGCCCGAAGGUCCCCCGCUUUCCCCCGUAGGGCGUAUGCGGUAUUAGCCUGGGUUUCCCCAGGUUAUCCCCCACUACCGGGCAGAUUCCUAUGCAUUACUCACCCGUCCGCCGCUCGCCACCAGGGAGCAAGCUCCCCGUGCUGCCGCUCGACUUGCAUGUGUUAGGCCUGCCGCCAGCGUUCAAUCUGAACCAAGAUCAAAUUCUGA
Molecule: ribosomal RNA, 507 nt
Filed under: uncultured bacterium
Lineage: Bacteria
Description: partial 16S ribosomal RNA
Source: RNAcentral